UGGGGGAAUUUUGGACAAUGGGCGAAAGCCUGAUCCAGCAAUGCCGCGUGUGUGAAGAAGGCCUUCGGGUUGUAAAGCACUUUUGUCCGGAAAGAAAUCCUUGGCUCUAAUACAGUCGGGGGAUGACGGUACCGGAAGAAUAAGCACCGGCUAACUACGUGCCAGCAGCCGCGGUAAUACGUAGGGUGCAAGCGUUAAUCGGAAUUACUGGGCGUAAAGCGUGCGCAGGCGGUUUGCUAAGACCGAUGUGAAAUCCCCGGGCUCAACCUGGGAACUGCAUUGGUGACUGGCAGGCUAGAGUAUGGCAGAGGGGGGUAGAAUUCCACGUGUAGCAGUGAAAUGCGUAGAGAUGUGGAGGAAUACCGAUGGCGAAGGCAGCCCCCUGGGCCAAUACUGACGCUCAUGCACGAAAAGCGUGGGGGAGCAAAACAGGAUUAGAUACCCUGGGUAGUCCACGCCCUAAAACGAUGUCAACUAGUUGUUGGGGAUUCAUUUCCUUAGUAACGUAGCUAACGCGUGAAGUUGACCGCCUGGGGAGUACGGUCGCAAGAUUAAAACUCAAAUGAAUUGACGGGGUCAUA
RNAcentral lists this ribosomal RNA (581 nucleotides) under uncultured bacterium. RNAcentral describes it as "partial 16S ribosomal RNA". It matches the Rfam family "Bacterial small subunit ribosomal RNA", at positions 354 to 923 of the family's 1533-position model. The record is from RNAcentral.